This 76-nucleotide transfer RNA is filed under the name Minisyncoccota bacterium. Its description in RNAcentral is "tRNA-Thr". It matches the Rfam family "tRNA". From Rfam's summary of the family: Transfer RNA (tRNA) molecules are approximately 80 nucleotides in length. Their secondary structure includes four short double-helical elements and three loops (D, anti-codon, and T loops). The record is from RNAcentral. Lineage: Bacteria; Bacillati; Minisyncoccota.
GCCGUCCUAGCUCAGUUGGUAGAGCAUUCCCAUGGUAAGGGAAAGGUCGUCGGUUCAAUCCCGACGGACGGCUCCA